This 529-nucleotide ribosomal RNA is filed under the name uncultured bacterium. Its description in RNAcentral is "bacterial SSU rRNA". It matches the Rfam family "Bacterial small subunit ribosomal RNA", at positions 979 to 1509 of the family's 1533-position model. The record is from RNAcentral.
UCUUGACAUCCAGAGAACUUUCCAGAGAUGGAUUGGUGCCUUCGGGAACUCUGAGACAGGUGCUGCAUGGCUGUCGUCAGCUCGUGUUGUGAAAUGUUGGGUUAAGUCCGCAACGAGCGCAACCCCUAUCCUUUGUUGCCAGCGAUUCGGUCGGGAACUCAAAGGAGACUGCCGGUGAUAAACCGGAGGAAGGUGGGGAUGACGUCAAGUCAUCAUGGCCCUUACGAGUAGGGCUACACACGUGCUACAAUGGCGUAUACAAAGAGAAGCGACCUCGCGAGAGCAAGCGGACCUCAUAAAGUACGUCGUAGUCCGGAUUGGAGUCUGCAACUCGACUCCAUGAAGUCGGAAUCGCUAGUAAUCGUAGAUCAGAAUGCUACGGUGAAUACGUUCCCGGGCCUUGUACACACCGCCCGUCACACCAUGGGAGUGGGUUGCAAAAGAAGUAGAUAGCUUAACCUUCGGGAGGGCGUUUACCACUUUGUGAUUCAUGACUGGGGUGAAGUCGUAACAAGGUAGGCGUAGCGAG